UAUAAAUACGGUUUGCCAUGUGAUAUAACUUGGCAUCCCUGCUUCUUCUCUACAGUAUGCAUCAUUGUAUAUUUACCUUAUGGGAGGAUUUUGCUGAGAUUGAUGGAAGCGACCUAGCUGCACAACUUGAAGAACAUCCAAUAAUCCUAGCAAAACGAAUUGCACGGUCUUCAUAUGCUGGAACAUCCUUGACAACAAGAUACAAUUCUGUAAUAUUGAUAAAUCCAUCCUAUCCACAGGCUGCAUAAUUGAUGAACUGGGCAAAAGAGAAUGAAGAAAUGUUGAGCACAUAUACGCAAAGAAGUUCUCAAGAAACAGCUUCAUCGCCAAUUCUUAUAUCACUAAAUGAUGAGGCGAUACCUAUAGGAAAUAUCCAAGCACAACCAGCGAUGCAAUCUUUUCACGUUGAAGGUAAAAUAUCGUUGCUGGAUGAUGAGCAGCUGUUUUCAGGGGCGGAGCCAGCCCUUCGGGUGGGGUUCGGCCAAACCCAGUAGCUUUUGUCCGAACCAUAUAUUUGUAUUAAAAAUUUUGUCAAAUAUGUACAAAUUAUUAAUUAAGAACUCAGUACUUUAAAAAAUUAGAAUCCCGAACCCACAAGCUUCGAAUCCUGGCUCCGCCUCUGGCUGUUUUAUGAGUUGAUGUGUUCAAAAUGCAAGAACUUUGUUAGGACCAAAAUAAUGAAAGCUAUUGACUGUGUAAACUUUGAUCAACAAGCAAUGUUAACACCCAGGUAACCAAGCGUUCCAUAAUCCAAAUUUACUUUCUCAUAUAAUUUAUGAAUAUAAAAUAACAUGUAAUAAUAUUAUAUAACAUGUGUCGCUUUCAAGUCCAAAUUGCAUAUGGAAGUGGAUCGACAAUUGCAACAUUAGUAGGUGAACUUGGGGAGAAUCUUCUUUCAAUGAAAGCUGAACAAAUCUACGAAACAAUUAACGUGAAGAACGAAUCACUGCCCCUUCCAGAUAUUCAACAACAUCUUGCUGACAAAGUGUUUAAAGUACAACAGAAGAAAUCUUUUUCUAGGAAUUCUGAUGAAACACCAGCAAAACUGUUCAAUUUGUCAUUUGCUGAGAAGCAGGAUACUCUCCAAUUGCCAGCAGUAUCAACUUCUACAAAUACUGGAGAAAGCAGUAAGAGAGAACUCGACAAGGUAGCAUCAGAAGAAGAACAAAAAAAGAUAAUCAUUGGAAGUACCUCAUCUAGCAAAAGACAGCAGACUGAGCGAACAACUCCAACCAAAAAAACUGCAUCUUCUAACAAAAGGGAGGGUAUCGAACCAGUCACUCCAACUAAGAAGAAGUAAAGUUCAUUAUGACUGUGGCGAGGUUGUACAAAGGUCUUUUGGUGGCUUGUACAUACCAAACUUUUGAUGGCCUAGACGGUCAUAAAUCAGCAGUUGAAAUAUACAGGACUAUGCAUGCUUAUAGCUUUUACUCUUAGUUUUGUCCAC
This is a long non-coding RNA of Lycium barbarum (goji berry), 1447 nucleotides long. RefSeq lists it as uncharacterized. The record is from RefSeq and is a predicted model, not a curated record. Lineage: Eukaryota; Viridiplantae; Streptophyta; Magnoliopsida; Solanales; Solanaceae. The transcript is spliced from 6 exons.